RNAcentral lists this long non-coding RNA (572 nucleotides) under Olea europaea (common olive). RNAcentral's name for it is "long non-coding RNA (OEUR_LNC014318)". The record is from RNAcentral. Lineage: Eukaryota; Viridiplantae; Streptophyta; Magnoliopsida; Lamiales; Oleaceae.
UUUUCUUCUCUCACUUCUCUGUGUGUGAUGAAAACCCCUCUUCUUCUAGCAAUUAGGGUUUGAGUUCUUGAAGGUUUUUGUUGAAAAUAAUAUAUGUAAACUUAAGUAAUACUAUAGAUACAUACAUUCCUCUAUGGAACACAAUUUAUCCUAUGAUAUGUGUCUAAUGCGAAGUGAUUUUAAAGAAAGCAGUUCAGCUUUAUGAGAUCUUGGUGAUCUCGGUUGGUUCCUUGGUUGAAUAGCAUUCUUUUUUUGUGAUUUCUCUUAAAAGAUGGGUGAUUCUUUGAAGGCAGUAACUGUGAUGUGAGACUUGUGAAAUCUGGUCAGUGAUUUCUUCGUGGAAUCGAGUCUGGCGUGUUGGUUCUCAUAAGAUAAGUCUUAGUGACUUGGUACUUGUAAUAUUUUUGGAACAUUAUUGUAUACUUGUUGCCUGUUUUUGGGGCUUCAUAGCGCAACAGAACUUUAUCCAUUUUAAUGGGUGCUCAAAAGGGGAUUAUGCGUUAGAAGUGUCCCCGAACCUCUUGGGUUUCGACCGAAAAAUCUCUGUGUUGAUUUUAUUUUUCUGCACUUAU